RNAcentral lists this transfer RNA (76 nucleotides) under Vibrio parahaemolyticus. RNAcentral describes it as "tRNA-Val". It matches the Rfam family "tRNA". From Rfam's summary of the family: Transfer RNA (tRNA) molecules are approximately 80 nucleotides in length. Their secondary structure includes four short double-helical elements and three loops (D, anti-codon, and T loops). The record is from RNAcentral. Lineage: Bacteria; Pseudomonadati; Pseudomonadota; Gammaproteobacteria; Vibrionales; Vibrionaceae.
GUACGAUUAGCUCAGUUGGGAGAGCACCUGCCUUACAAGCAGGGGGUCACUGGUUCGAGCCCGGUAUCGCCCACCA